UCUUUUUUGUGAGGGUUGAAUGUAGAAAAUGAAAGCUCCCAAUUUUGACUAAUGAUUAUCUAAUGACCAACAAAAUCCUUUGUAUAUUUAAUAAAAAUGUUAUUCAUAUUCUAUUGAUGUGAGUUUAAAUAUCAAAGUCGAUUUGAGAAUUUUAUUGGUGGAUAGUUUUUAAACAUCUCUAGAAGUACUAUUUAAAUUUUGAGGUCUAUCUAAAUUAUGGUGAGCUUUUGGAUAUUCAUAGCUUGAUUAGAACUAUUUUUCAUAAACACAAAUAAUAAAACACAACCAAUAAUGCAAUGGAGCAACCAAGCUUGCAGCAUCCCCCCAAAUUCCCCUGUUCACAGUGUUGAAGGACAGCAUUGUGAAAAAGACAUGCAAACAAAUCUUUAUCCAAAUGAGGGCUAUCCUCAAAGUUGAAAGAAAUUUAAUAAAACUUAAUAAGAGUAAGUGCAUGUAUGUAUUAAAUUUUAUUAAACGUUUCAUAUAAUAAAUCACCAAAUUUUAUUAAACGUUUCAUAUUAAUUGUACCAAUCCUAGUCUUAUAAAAAAAUCACCAAAUUAUAAAUGUUUUAUAUAUUUAUUAAAGUUGAUUGAAAUAUCUUUAAGAAAAUUCACACAAUAUUACUUUUUAAUUGUCAUUAGACAACAACAGCGAGUUUCUCCAAUUUUUUAUUUUUCCCCAUUAAAUUCUGGUAUGGUGACUGCAUUCCUUAAUUUAUGUAUGUUGUUUACCCUAACAACUGGCAUUCAAGAUAUGGUUCGAUCCAAGGAUAAGAUUUUUUAUUUUUUUGUGUGGUUGCAUCGUUGUUUGAAAAGUUUUAGCUAUAAAAGACUUGGUUCUUUAAGUGUAGCAAGUGUGACUCACCUCUAUUUCCUAACAACUUUUCUAGUGUACGGUUUAUAGUAUGGAUAAAAGUUAAUCAAGUUUUAUUGUGAAGUUUUUUUUUAGAAAAAUUUAAUGAAAGAAUCAUUUUUUAUUUUGUGAAAUAUUCAAGUCAAUGAUAUUAUGAUACAAUCAAUAUUACACAAGACAAAAAUGAAAACAAUGCAAGCAUGCCUUCAUUUUUAUAGGAGAGGAUAAUCUUCUCUAAAAAAGAGAAGUCUAUAAUCAUAGCAUUACCAUGCAACCAUGAAAAAUGAUAAGGCAUUGCUAGCGGAUUCAAAUUAGCACAUGAGCAUUAG
This 1182-nucleotide long non-coding RNA is filed under the name Cicer arietinum (chickpea). RNAcentral's name for it is "long non-coding RNA (CARI_LNC000421)". Lineage: Eukaryota; Viridiplantae; Streptophyta; Magnoliopsida; Fabales; Fabaceae. The record is from RNAcentral.